RNA transcript from Apis laboriosa (Himalayan honeybee), 1941 nucleotides. RefSeq lists it as uncharacterized. The transcript has 4 exons. The record is from RefSeq and is a predicted model, not a curated record. NCBI's taxonomy places the organism in Eukaryota, Metazoa, Arthropoda, Insecta, Hymenoptera, Apidae.
AAAUAAAAAAAAUAAUAUAUAAAAUAUAAAUGGGAAAAUCAUAAAAAAUUAUUAAUAAUUUUAACAUUUUUAUUAUACUAUAAAAUUUAAAAACUAAAAAAGUUUCUUUCAUACAUUAUAAUUAUUUAAAUAAUUAUAACCUUUUCUGACUUAUGUAAAAAUAGAAGUUCUAAACUAUAUUCUUGUAAGAAUAUGAUUUAUUAACAAAAAAAAAUGGAACAUAAAAUAUUAAAAAUAUUUAAUUUUAAUAAAAUAGCGUACAAUGGGUUUCAAAAGAUUGUAACACAAAAGCGAUUUUUUCUAUCAGAAGCAUACCGAUGUGAAGAAGCAUGGAAAAAUCGAUUACAAUCGCCAUUGCUACAAAAAUUUAAAUCAAACGAUUUAUUUAUUAUUUUGGAUAAUAAAUUUCAUAUUGAUAAAACAGUUAGUGCAGUAGAUAUAGAUAUAUUUGCAAAUAGCUUAAAUAAAGAGGAUCAAGUAGAAGAAUUAUUGAGUCUACUCCAAAAAUUGAGGAAAAGUGCAGAAGCAUCGAACAUAUUAGAUUCAACACAUCAUGCUGUCAUAAGAUAUUUAUUAGAUAAUAAUUAUACUGAAGAACUUAUGAACGUAUUACAUAAUAGACUUAAUUAUGGUAUUUUUCCUGAUUAUGUCACUUAUAACAUACUCAUGGAUACAUACAUAAAAAAACAAGAUUAUGCCAAUGCUGCAAAAGUUGCUAUUUUACCUAUGUUACAAGAAGAAUCUGAACAUUUGAUAACCAAUGCAUUAUCUGUAUAUGCUUGUCACAAAUAUUUAGAAAAUCCAAAUAAAUGGCAGAAACCACCAGAACCUAUAGAAGAUACUAAAGAAGAAAUUAAAAUACGUGUAGCUUAUCUUAGAAAUCCUUUUUUUGAUGACCAUUUUGAUCUUACUGAUCCAUAUGAUUUAGUUGGAAAAACAUUAGCUUUUCAAGGAAAAUUUAUGAAUAAUGAGUUAGGAAGAACAUGUCAAUUAAGAGGCUUAAUAUUAUAUAAAAAAUAUCAAGAUGCAUUAAAAUUAAUAAAACAAUGGAUAAAUGAAAUUGAAGGAAAUAUUGUUUACAAAGAAGUUUUUGAUUUGAUUGAAAAAGAUAAAAAAAAUGUAUUCCAAGAACAAGAAACAGAUGAAUUUAAAAUUUUAAUGUCAGAAGUUAAUUUGAUAAAAGAAAAAAAUUUGUGUACAGAUAAUUUAAUUAAUGUAUUAGAAAAUAAUAUCAAAUCUGCAAUUGAAAAACAGCAUGAUAUUGAUAUAAAUGAACAAAUGCAGAAAUAUGUAGAGUGGGAAAAACAGAGACAAUUAAUAUUAGAUAAACAAAUGGAAGAAAUAAAUCGAAUAGCUAAAAAAGAAGAAAUAGAGAAAUUAAAAGAAGAAAUGAAAAAGCAAGAACGAUUUUUGACUUUCUUUGAGAAUGAAGAAGAUAUAGAAUUGCAAAUAGAGGAAAUAGAAGAAUUCGAAAAGAAAAAAAUGGAACAUGUUCUUAAAAUGCCUCAUGCUAAGAAGAAGCUGAAAAAAUUAGAAAAAGAAAAAGAAUAUAUACCACCUACAAUUUAAAUUGCACCUGUUUCUUCUACUAAAUUUACAAGUUCACUACAAUCAGAAUGAAGUGUAGCUAAUAAUUUAUAAGCUUUCCUUGAUGCUUCAUUUGUUCUUGCAUCUCGAAAUAUUAAUUCAUCAGCAACAGUAAAGGAUCUUUCUAAUCUGCCUAUAAAUAUCGCUGCCCACUUUUAGUUAUACAAACCGGUUGACAUCAGAUACCAAAAAUUUUCUAGAUGCGUAUAAAAUCGUUCAGAGGAACACUCACCAGCCUAUUUGACGCAAUGAGUGAAUUAUUAUAUUGUCAACCUCCUCCAUCAUCCGUAAAAAUGUGAAAAUUCUAAAUUCUUCUACUAUAUUGUUAUAUCGAAAGAAAUUUAAGUUGAAUUG